AUAAGCGGAGGAAAAGAAACCAACAGGGAUUGCCCUAGUAACGGCGAGUGAAGCGGCAACAGCUCAAAUUUGAAAUCUGGCCCCUCCGGUGCCCGAGUUGUAAUUUGCAGAGGGUGCUUUGGUGUUGGCUGUGGUCCAAGUUCCCUGGAACAGGACGUCACAGAGGGUGAGAACCCCGUACGUGGCCGCCAGUCUUCGCCGUGUAAAGCCCCUUCGACGAGUCGAGUUGUUUGGGAAUGCAGCUCUAAAUGGGAGGUAAAUUCCUUCUAAAGCUAAAUAUUGGCCAGAGACCGAUAGCGCACAAGUAGAGUGAUCGAAAGAUGAAAAGCACUUUGGAAAGAGAGUGAAACAGCACGUGAAAUUGUUGAAAGGGAAGCGCUUGGAGCCAGACGUGCCCGUAGUUGCUCAGCCGGGGUUCUCCCCGGUGCACUCUUCUGCGGGCAGGCCAGCAUCAGUUUGGGCGGUUGGAUAAAGACCUGCUAAACGUACCUCCCCCCGGGGAGGACUUAUAGGGUAGGCGGCAUACAACCAGCCCGGACUGAGGACCGCGCAUCUGCUAGGAUGCUGGCGUAAUGGCUGUAAGCGGCCCGUCUUGAAACACGGACCAAGGAGUCUAACAUCUAUGCGAGUGUUUGGGUGUCAAGCCCGAGCGCGUAAUGAAAGUGAACGCAGGUGGGAGCCUUUCGGGGCGCACCAUCGACCGAUCCUGAUGUCUUCGGAAGGAUUUGAGUAAGAGCAUAGCUGUUGGGACCCGAAAGAUGGUGAACUAUGCCUGAAUAGGGUGAAGCCAGAGGAAACUCUGGUGGAGGCUCGCAGCGGUUCUGACGUGCAAAUCGAUCGUCAAAUUUGGGCAUAGGGGCGAAAGACUAAUCGAACUAUCUAGUAGCUGGUUCCUGC
This 897-nucleotide ribosomal RNA is filed under the name Magnibotryascoma rubriostiolatum. Its description in RNAcentral is "partial large subunit ribosomal RNA". It matches the Rfam family "Eukaryotic large subunit ribosomal RNA", at positions 46 to 961 of the family's 3401-position model. Lineage: Eukaryota; Fungi; Ascomycota; Dothideomycetes; Pleosporales; Teichosporaceae. The record is from RNAcentral.